GCUAAUACCGCAUACGUCCUACGGGAGAAAGCAGGGGACCUUCGGGCCUUGCGCUAAUAGAUGAGCCUAAGUCGGAUUAGCUAGUUGGUGGGGUAAAGGCCUACCAAGGCGACGAUCUGUAGCGGGUCUGAGAGGAUGAUCCGCCACACUGGGACUGAGACACGGCCCAGACUCCUACGGGAGGCAGCAGUGGGGAAUAUUGGACAAUGGGGGGAACCCUGAUCCAGCCAUGCCGCGUGUGUGAAGAAGGCCUUUUGGUUGUAAAGCACUUUAAGCGAGGAGGAGGCUACCGAGAUUAAUACUCUUGGAUAGUGGACGUUACUCGCAGAAUAAGCACCGGCUAACUCUGUGCCAGCAGCCGCGGUAAUACAGAGGGUGCAAGCGUUAAUCGGAUUUACUGGGCGUAAAGCGCGCGUAGGUGGCCAAUUAAGUCAAAUGUGAAAUCCCCGAGCU
This 453-nucleotide ribosomal RNA is filed under the name bacterium. RNAcentral's name for it is "bacterial SSU rRNA". It matches the Rfam family "Bacterial small subunit ribosomal RNA", at positions 162 to 609 of the family's 1533-position model. The record is from RNAcentral.